Molecule: ribosomal RNA, 432 nt
Filed under: uncultured bacterium
Lineage: Bacteria
Description: partial 16S ribosomal RNA
Rfam family: Bacterial small subunit ribosomal RNA
Source: RNAcentral
ACGCACGCUGGCGGCAUGCCUCACCCCUGCCAGUCGCACGAGACCUUCGGGUCUAGUGGCGCACGGGUGCGUCACGCGUGGGAACCUGCCCUUAGGUUCGGAAUAACUCCCCGAAAGGGGUGCUAAUACCGGAUAAUGUCUUCGGACCAAAGAUUUAUCGCCUUUGGAUGGGCCCGCGUUGGAUUAGCUAGUUGGUAGGGUAAAAGCCUACCAAGGCGACGAUCCAUAGCUGGUCUGAGAGGAUGAUCAGCCACACUGGGACUGAGACACGGCCCAGACUCCUACGGGAGGCAGCAGUGGGGAAUAUUGGACAAUGGGCGAAAGCCUGAUCCAGCAAUGCCGCGUGAGUGAUGAAGGCCUUAGGGUUGUAAAGCUCUUUUACCCGGGAUGAUAAUGACAGUACCGGGAGAAUAAGCGCCGGCUAACUCCGUG